This 253-nucleotide ribosomal RNA is filed under the name uncultured bacterium. RNAcentral describes it as "partial 16S ribosomal RNA". It matches the Rfam family "Bacterial small subunit ribosomal RNA", at positions 524 to 776 of the family's 1533-position model. The record is from RNAcentral.
AACGUAGGGGGCCAGCGUUGCUCGGAAUUACUGGGCGUAAAGGGUCUGUAGGCGGUGCGGUAAGUCCGGAGUGAAAUCUCCAGGCUCAACUUGGAGGCUGCUUCGGAAACUGCCGUGCUCGAGUGUGGGAGAGGCGAGUGGAAUUGCAGGUGUAGCGGUGAAAUGCGUAGAUAUCUGCAGGAACACCAGUGGCGAAAGCGAUUCGCUGGACCACAACUGACGCUGAGAGACGAAAGCUAGGGGAGCAAACAGG